UUAGGAAUUUUGGGCAAUGGGCGCAAGCCUGACCCAGCAACGCCGCGUGGGUGACGAAGGCCUUCGGGUUGUAAAGCCCUUUUCUGAGGGAAGAUGAUGACGGUACCUCAGGAAUAAGCACCGGCUAACUACGUGCCAGCAGCCGCGGUAAUACGUAGGGUGCAAGCGUUGCCCGGAUUUAUUGGGCGUAAAGGGCGCGUAGGCGGCAGUGCACGUCCGUUGUGAAAUCGCCCGGCUCAACUGGGCGGGGUCAGCGGAUACGGCAUUGCUUGAGCAAGCUAGGGGGCAAUGGAAUUCCCGGUGUAGUGGUGGAAUGCGUAGAUAUCGGGAGGAACACCAGUGGCGAAGGCGGUUGCCUGGAGCUUUGCUGACGCUGAGGCGCGAAAGCGUGGGGAGCGAUCCGGAUUAGAUACCCGCGUAGUCC
Molecule: ribosomal RNA, 424 nt
Filed under: uncultured bacterium
Lineage: Bacteria
Description: bacterial SSU rRNA
Rfam family: Bacterial small subunit ribosomal RNA
Source: RNAcentral